Molecule: ribosomal RNA, 757 nt
Filed under: uncultured fungus
Lineage: Eukaryota; Fungi
Description: eukaryotic LSU rRNA
Rfam family: Eukaryotic large subunit ribosomal RNA
Source: RNAcentral
GAACUUAAGCAUAUCAACAAGCGGAGGAAAAGAAACCAACAGGGAUUGCCCCAGUAACGGCGAGUGAAGCGGCAACAGCUCAAAUUUGAAAUCUGGCCUUAUGCCCGAGUUGUAAUUUGUAGAGGAUGCUUUUGGCGACGCGCCUUCCGAGUUCCCUGGAACGGGACGCCAUAGAGGGUGAGAGCCCCGUCCGGUCGUGCGCCUAGCCUCUGUAAAGCUCCUUCGACGAGUCGAGUAGUUUGGGAAUGCUGCUCUAAAUGGGAGGUAUACGUCUUCUAAAGCUAAAUACCGGCCAGAGACCGAUAGCGCACAAGUAGAGUGAUCGAAAGAUGAAAAGCACUUUGAAAAGAGGGUUAAAUAGUACGUGAAAUUGCUGAAAGGGAAGCGCUUAUGACCAGACUUGGGCGCGGCGGAUCAUCCGGCGUUCUCGCCGGUGCACUCCACCGCCCCAGGCCAGCAUCAGUUCGCGCCGGGGGAUAAAGGCUUCGGGAAUGUGGCUCCUCCGGGAGUGUUAUAGCCCGUUGUGUAAUACCCUGGUGCGGACUGAGGUCCGCGCUCUGCAAGGAUGCUGGCGUAAUGGUCAUCAGUGACCCGUCUUGAAACACGGACCAAGGAGUCGUCUUCGUAUGCGAGUGUUCGGGUGUCAAACCCCUACGCGGAAUGAAAGUGAACGUAGGAGAGAGCUUCGGCGCAUCUCCGACCGAUCCUGAUGUUCUCGGAUGGAUUUGAGUAAGAGCAUACGGGGCCGGACCCGAAA